This is a long non-coding RNA of Cornus florida, 3558 nucleotides long. RefSeq lists it as uncharacterized. Lineage: Eukaryota; Viridiplantae; Streptophyta; Magnoliopsida; Cornales; Cornaceae. The transcript is spliced from 2 exons. The record is from RefSeq and is a predicted model, not a curated record.
CUCUACUAUAUUUUAAUUUUCAUUGUUUAAUAUAUUAUAGGCUAAUUACAUCUAUUACCAAAUAUAGAUAUUAGUAAAUUAUUUGUGAUAACAGUGCAUAGCGUAACCAUGAAAUUAUAGGUGAAUAUGCUAAUACGGUUAUACUUGCUAAUAUCUUGUUAUUAAUUGUUAUUGCUAUAUUUGGUAUCAUGACAGAUAUAGAACUGAGGUGUGAGUGAUACACACACACACACACACACACACACACACACACAUAGUUAUACUUGUUCAAAUUAUUUCCUUAUUGCAUAUGGUUAGAUUUAACUCACACAUACAUGAGCAUAAUUGUACCUAGUGUGUGGAUCAGUCGCAAGGGAAUUGUGAUUUGGACAAUGACAUCAUCCUUAGUAGAUUAGAGUUCUAUUUGAUUGGUACAUCCCUGUACUUAUCUAAGCGUUUAUAUGCAUAUAGGUGCUUAUAUUAUAUAAUUGAAGUAAUUAAAUUAUAUGAGAAUGGGUUAGUUGAUGAUUACAUGCAUCUCAACUUGUGAAAUUGUGGAAUGUGGGAGUUAGGUUGAGUAUAAUUUGUGUUCAAACAUUUUCCAGAAUCAGAAUUCAAAACCAAAAUAUAUCAUUGAUUUUGAAAUUGAAAUCAACUAAAUUCAAGAAGAUAUUGAGAAAUUCUAGUGAAAAAUCAAACACACCAAAUAAUUUAAAAAAAAAGAAAAAGAUCUAUGAAAUUAAUUAUAUGUAGCAAAUUACUUGAAUUCAACAACUCAUAAGCUGGUUUGCAUGACCAAUCUGAAUUGAUUAAAAAUCAUAACCUAGUUUGCUAUUUGAAGGAAAAAGGAAAGUAAUUGGAUGUUGCUUGCUUGGCCGGAAGCUUUGUUGUUGAUGUUUAAUUGUUUACACACACAUAUAAGUAAAUAAAGCUUUUAAUUUCAUUAGAAAUAAAUUAACCACAAUUCAUUUUAUUUAUAUUUGGUAAGUAUAAUUAAUUUACAUUUCCUUAUCAUUUUUCUUAUGAAAUUAGGGUUCACUGUCAAUAAAUAUAUAUCUAUAUAUAUAUAUAUAUAUAUAUAUAUAUAUAUAUACACAAAUUAUCUUUCAUAAGUUUCGCUAACAUCCUUGGGAGUUGCAACUUCAGAUGGGAACUUGAGAACAUUUUCUGAUAGCGAAGCAUAAACUUCGACAGUUUCUUGAACCAUUAAGUUUUUAGAAGAAUAUUUUCCAAGCGAUGAACAUUAUGAGUUAGAGGUGAUAAUCUUCCCUUUGAUACCACUUGCAAUACAAGAUCUGUUACAUCCCUGAUAUUCUUCCUUGGGAAAAGAUAGAUAUUCACCUUGUCAACAACCUAAAUGUUAUAGCCAUAAGAAUAAUAAAUGAGUUACAACAGGAAGUUUUAAGACAUUUUCAUUAUUAUAAUUGGACAUGUCAUAACCUUCCAGAAAGAUUGGAGACCCAUAUUUUUAAAGAGUUGCUGCACAUGAGAUCUUUUAAGGCCAAAUAUUUAACCUUCCAGAAAGCCUUAGACACAUGAUUUAGAGAAGGUUCACUCAAAGUGCAAUCAGAAAUUCUAAGUAAAGUAGGAUCUGCAGAUAAUUUUUGUUAUGUCUCCAAAAUAGAUGACUGGAAGAAGGUUCACUUAAAAUAAAAUAUUAGAUUCUAGUGAAAAUUGAGGCAUGAUAGUAUCUCUUUCGUAAAGUCUCCUAAGCCUGAUAAUGUUGGCCAUCAAGAAACUUGUCUAUAAAUUAGAGCAUACUUUUGAACUGAUAAUUUGAUUUAGACCACUGGGGGGAAAAAAAUGACGUGGCUGAAUGAGAAAUGAAUGUAUUUAGAAAAAGCUAUAGCACCAAAUCCCGUUGGAAAGGGCCACAUUCUUUAAAAAUAUUGUAUCUAAAAAUUAAAAAGGGAAGUAAGCUUGAUCUGUCUUGCCACUUAAUUGAGUCCAAAUGAAAAUUGCGACACAAAAUUAAGUGAAAUUAAAGUUUCUACUUCCUCUCUUGAAAAGAAAAAUAAAAAAACUAAGUUUUAUAAGUUUGGUAAGUACUGUUAACACCUAAGCUAAGCAACAUGGGUAUGAGAAAAUGACAAGGAAAUGGUAAAACCAAAAGGGAUGUGGUGACUGGGUUCUUGGCUUGUAUAUGGGUCGUGAGGUCAUCAAUGAGUACAAAGUGGCCUUUGGGGUUUUAUAGGUCUUAUCCAAUUUAUCUUAACUUUUUUUAAUUAUUUUUUUUUUAUUUUUUGUGGGUGAUUUCCGUAACCCCAUCUCUCUUUUUAAGAUGAUAUGUCAAUAUUUAGCUAUCUAGUUGUUACACCUUAAUUUGUAAUUUUAAAAUCUUCAAAUAAAAAAAUUAACCCAUUGAUGCACCAUUACUAAUUAAAUAGAAGGUUUUUACUCUUAUAAAUUAGCAUUUUCCUUUUAAUUUUUGAUCAAAAUAUCAUGGUGCCAGAAACAAUCUCUACUUGUUCUUUACUUUUUCAUGGGUACCAGAAAAUAAUUACAUCUUGUAAUUCAGUAAAAAUAAGGGAAAUUGUUGGGAUGUAAUGCUGAUGAAUUGUAAGAGGUAUAUCUGAAAGCCCAAACAACUAGAUUGGCUGUUUCAAUAUCUAUAAGUAGGUUCUUUACUUAAUUGGGUAAUUUGGAAGCAAUUCAGAAUCAGAAUUGUGAGUUUAAUAAUUCAAGCUUGUUUAUUGCCUCUUGAGCUGGCACUGAAUUAAUUUUCUCAAGAAGAAAAAUCAUUGAAUUGGAUGGUCUUUGGUUCAAGACUUUUAGUUUGAAUUUUUUUUUAUCCAAUUCUGACUUCACCUUGACGGUGUUUAUGUUCACCCACUCGUAAUAAAAGUUUUCCCAUACAAUGAAAGAGGCUCCUAGGAAGAAAUUUUUUAUUUACAAUAGACUUACCUCAAAUAUAAAUAUAUAUAAACACAAUAGUUUGGUCAGUAUCCUAACCCUUGAAACUUAAAUUUAAUUUACUGCUGCAGCAAGCUCUGGGAGGCUCAUUGUCCAGGGAGCCUUAUCGUCCUACUUAAUUGCAUGUGGCUGGGAUUAUCUUUUUGACUUUUUGUUGCAGGCCCAUUAACUAAAUUUUUUGUUUCAUAUGGGCUCAGGAUAAACUCACUUUUGUACUUUUGGUUCUUACAUGGGAUUAGAUUUAUGGAUCUCCCAUCUUCCCAUUAUUGGCAGAUUGCAGGUAGCUGGGCUUACUAGCUUUUUGACAUCUUUUUGUUGCAGACCAGUGACUAUAUUUUUUUUUGUUUCAUUGGGCUCAAAACAAAUUCACUUUUGUACUUUUGGUUAUUACAAGGGAUUGUAUUUGUGGAUCUCCCAUCUCCCCAUUGUUGGCAAGUUACAUGUAGAUGGUAUUAGUUUUUGUUACAGUUCCAUUGAUUAUGUUUUUUUGUUUCAUAUGGGCUUAGAAAAAAUUCACUUUUGUACUUUUGGAUCUCCUAUCUCCCUAUAUUGUUGGAUAUAGGUUUAAUCAUUCUCUAUGUAUAUGAAUCUCGUUUUGAUCCCAUAUUUGGAAUAUGUAUGGAUGAUUGGAUAUAUGAAAUAGUAUUUUACCUUUCAUUUGUAAAA